This is a long non-coding RNA of Anneissia japonica, 427 nucleotides long. RefSeq lists it as uncharacterized. NCBI's taxonomy places the organism in Eukaryota, Metazoa, Echinodermata, Crinoidea, Comatulida, Comatulidae. The record is from RefSeq and is a predicted model, not a curated record. The transcript is spliced from 3 exons.
UAAUUAUAUAUUUGUAGCUCCUUACCUGAACUGUUAGAGAAGAAACGUUUGAUUGAUUCUCAUACAAACUUGGCAACAUCGUUAUUGGAUAAAAUCAAGGCACGGAAACUGGAUGUAUAUUUUGAAGUUGAAGAGAGGCUGAUGACCAAGACGUCACUAGAUAAACCUCUGAUGGACAUCAUCACUGAUGUUGAUGCUGGUACCGCGGAGGACAAGAUGAGGAUGUUUAUUAUUUUCUACAUCCUUGGUCAACAACAGGUUACCGAUGCAGAAUUUGAUCAAUAUUUACUGGCUCUCGAAGCAGCCGGUUGUGACCUAUCACCUAUCAACUACAUCAAAAGAUGGCGGUAAGCUAAAAAAUAUUCUUAAUAACAACGCAGACAUGUAUGUGUUUGUUUUUUUUUCUUCACAUCCAACAGCAAGUACA